AACGAACGCUGGCGGCAGGCUUAACACAUGCAAGUUGAACGGGAACAUACGAUAGCUUGCUAUAGUAUGUGAGAGUGGCGCACGGGUGAGUAAUACAUGGGAACAUACCUUGAAGUGGGGGAUAACUUCUAGAAAUGACUGCUAAUACCGCAUAAGACCACAGGGUCGCAUGACCCGGUGGUAAAAACUCCGGUGGUAUGAGAUGGAUCCGCGUCUGAUUAGCUAGUUGGUGGGGUAACGGCUCACCAAGGCGACGAUCAGUAGCCGACCUGAGAGGGUGGCCGGCCACAUUGGGACUGAGACACGGCCCAA
RNAcentral lists this ribosomal RNA (312 nucleotides) under uncultured bacterium. Its description in RNAcentral is "bacterial SSU rRNA". It matches the Rfam family "Bacterial small subunit ribosomal RNA", at positions 29 to 334 of the family's 1533-position model. The record is from RNAcentral.